Trichonephila inaurata madagascariensis is the source of this 72-nucleotide non-coding RNA. Lineage: Eukaryota; Metazoa; Arthropoda; Arachnida; Araneae; Nephilidae. The record is from the annotation of a GenBank genome assembly.
AUCUCUGUUGCGUAACGGAUAGCGCGUUGGACAUCUUUUCCAAAGAUCGUGGGUUGAAUCCCACCUAGGAUG